Molecule: long non-coding RNA, 1929 nt
Filed under: Equus caballus (horse)
Lineage: Eukaryota; Metazoa; Chordata; Mammalia; Perissodactyla; Equidae
Description: lncRNA (ENSECAG00000051026.1)
Source: RNAcentral
UUAACAGGAGAAAAGCAUAAAAGUUUAUUUAAUAUUUUGAUGUGUACACGGGAGUCUUCUGAAGGAAAAUUAAGACCUGAAUACUUCCCUGUUUUUGUUACCUAUAACCAAAUUAUUUUGAUAACCAGUGCAUCACCCUGUCCUUAGCAAUAAAAAAAAGCAGCCGGGCCGGCCCCGUGGCCAAGUGGUUAAAGUUCUGUGCACUCCGCUUUGGCGGCCUGGGUUCACAGUUUCCAAUCCUGAGUUUAGACCGACUCUACUCAUCAGCCAUGCUGUUGGGGCAUCCCACAUAUGAAGUAGAGGAAGAUUGGCACAGAUGUUAGCUCAGGGCCAAUCUUCCUCACCAAAAAAAAAGUAUGUAUAUUUCAAGUGGAAGCGUCAUCCUGUGGGUUAAAAAAUAGAGGUAAAGGUUUGUUUCUGACCAGCAGAUACCUUGUGGUGGGAACAGCGAACAAGAGGUGGGUAUGCAGCCCCUUUCACAGCCUGUACCUGAUUUUUGACUUCCAUUGUAAAACUGGUGUUAUAAGCCGUAGAAGUAAAUGCUAUUUUUUCCUAACCCUUCUCACUAAACUGUGUAUGUAUAAAAUAUUAGAUCACAAAGGACAAAAACACUUCUGAAAUUAAAAUAUUGGUCCCUAAAUGAGGUCAGCCCUGUGGCCUAGUGAUUAAGUUGGGUGCACUCUGCUUUGGCAGCCUGAGUUUGGUUCCUGGGUAAGGACCUGUACCACUCCUCAGGGGCCAUGCUGUGGCAGCAGCUCACAUACAAAACAGAGGAAAGAUUGGCACAGAUGUUAGCUCAGGGUGAAUCUUCCUCAGGAAAAAAAAAAAAAAUAUAUAUAUAUAUAUAUAUAUAUAUAUAUAUAAGGCCAGCCCAGUGGUGUAGUGGUUAAUUUCAUGCUCUCUGCUUCAGCAGCCCAGGGUUCAUAGGUUUGGAUCCUGGGCACAGACCUGGCACUACUGGUCAAGCCACACUGUGGCAGCAUCCCACAUAGACUAGAGGAAGGUUGGCACAGAUGUUAGCUCAAUGACAAUCUUCCUCAAGCAAAAAGAGGAACAUUGGCAACAAAUGUUAGCUCGGGGCCAAUCUUCCUCACACACACACACAAAAGAUACUUUCUCCUACAUUUUGUGAUUUUUUGAAAAUUCAGUUUAUAUAACUGUUCUAAUGUAAAUAUUCCCUUUAAAAGCCCUGUGUCUUUAGAUGUUCUUAAAUAUUUAUUCAUCCGAGAGCUUCAGUUCAAGCUGUUAGUGGCUAUUGAUGUUUUGAUUUAGUGCCCUUUGCAAGUCCUUUAAUAGUCCAGCUGCCAUCUUUCUAAACAUUGAUGGUAAGAAGAGUAAUUUACUGAAAAUAACAAGGGUUUUAGAGGAAGACCUGGUUCAAAUCCAAGCUUUGCCACGUAUUAGGAAAUUGCUUAAUGUCUCUGGAAAAUAGAGAUAAUGACUCACAUGUAGUCACGAGGGUGAGGUUCAGCUGCAAGUGAGAGCAGAUGCCCCGGACAGUGGCUUCAGCAGGUGGAGGGUCACUUCUCUCUCAGGUCAAAUCUUAGGCAGGUGGCUCAAGGCAGGUACGAUGCUCUACGGGUGUUUGAGGCAGACUCCUUCUACCAGGUUCUCUGCUGAGCGUUACCCAGUUGGCCUCAACGGUCCAAGCUCGCUGCUUCAGCUCCUGCCUUCUCUUCUGCACCUUGGCUAGACAGAAGGAGAAAAAAGGCCAGGUUCCAGAAGCUGCGCACACUAGCUGUAAGAGGAACUGAACAUUGUGGUUUUCACAGCCACAUACCCAGCAAAAAAACAGGGAUUCUGUUGCUAGAAAAGAAAAGGAAUACAGAAAUUGGGGAGAACUCAUUUAGAUUAUAUUUGUAACAUAGCAGCUACAGUGCUAUACAAAGACAGUCGCAAAACACUAAUGAUUAUUAUCAUCACUGUAUG